CACGUAGGGGACGAGCGUUGUCCGGAUUCAUUGGGCGUAAAGCGCGCGUAGGCGGCUCGGAAAGUCGGUCGUGAAAUGCCGGGGCUCAACCCCGGGACUGCGUCCGAUACUUCCGGGCUGGAGGUAGGUAGGGGAGAUCGGAAUUCCUGGUGUAGCGGUGAAAUGCGCAGAUAUCAGGAGGAACACCGGUGGCGAAGGCGGAUCUCUGGGCCUUACCUGACGCUGAGGCGCGAAAGCUAGGGGAGCGAAUGGG
Molecule: ribosomal RNA, 253 nt
Filed under: uncultured bacterium
Lineage: Bacteria
Description: partial 16S ribosomal RNA
Rfam family: Bacterial small subunit ribosomal RNA
Source: RNAcentral